UCCGAAUUGGUGUAGGUGGUCAGCAUACGACCCUCUCAAUCACUCCUUGUCUUACGACUCUUAGUGAGUUGCACGGUUGAGACUCGGGUUCGAGUCCCGGAUUCGGAA
This 108-nucleotide transfer RNA is filed under the name Pelagophyceae sp. CCMP2097. Its description in RNAcentral is "tRNA-Glu". It matches the Rfam family "tRNA". From Rfam's summary of the family: Transfer RNA (tRNA) molecules are approximately 80 nucleotides in length. The record is from RNAcentral. Lineage: Eukaryota; Pelagophyceae.